UCCAAAUUCCAACAUCCAAACAAAUUCCAAAUGUCAAAUUUAAAAAAUUUGAAAAUUGGAAAUUAGAAUUUGAAUGGAGCUUGUGAUUUGAUUAUUGAAGUUUCCACUGCAGAGCAGUGGUUAAAGCUCCGGCGGAAUAAGAUCGGCCCUACUCCUAUCAGCUAGUUGGUGAGGUAAUGGCUUACCAAGGCUUCGACGGGUAGCUGGUCUGAGAGGAUGGUCAGCCACAAUGGGACUGAGACACGGCCCAUACACCUACGGGAGGCUGCAGGGACGAAUAUUCGUCAAUGGACGAAAGUCUGAACGAGCGACGCCGCGUGUGGGAGGAAGUCCUUCGGG
Molecule: ribosomal RNA, 339 nt
Filed under: uncultured bacterium
Lineage: Bacteria
Description: partial 16S ribosomal RNA
Rfam family: Bacterial small subunit ribosomal RNA
Source: RNAcentral